Heterocephalus glaber (naked mole-rat) is the source of this 64-nucleotide non-coding RNA. The record is from Rfam. NCBI's taxonomy places the organism in Eukaryota, Metazoa, Chordata, Mammalia, Rodentia, Bathyergidae.
GAUGUAGCUCAGUGGUAGAGCACUUGCCUAGCAUGCAUGAGGCCUGGGUUCCAUUCCUAGCAUC